Molecule: non-coding RNA, 67 nt
Organism: Trichonephila clavata
Lineage: Eukaryota; Metazoa; Arthropoda; Arachnida; Araneae; Nephilidae
Source: the annotation of a GenBank genome assembly
GGCCCCAUUAGCUCAGUUGGUUAGAGCGUCGUGCUAAUAACGCGAAAUUCGAUCCCCCCAUGGGUCA